This 468-nucleotide ribosomal RNA is filed under the name uncultured bacterium. Its description in RNAcentral is "partial 16S ribosomal RNA". It matches the Rfam family "Bacterial small subunit ribosomal RNA", at positions 28 to 507 of the family's 1533-position model. The record is from RNAcentral.
GACGAACGCUGGCGGCGUGCUUAACACAUGCAAGUCGAACGGAAAGGCCCUGCUUUUGUGGGGUGCUCGAGUGGCGAACGGGUGAGUAACACGUGAGUAACCUGCCCUUGACUUUGGGAUAACUUCAGGAAACUGGGGCUAAUACCGGAUAGGAGCUCCUGCUGCAUGGUGGGGGUUGGAAAGUUUCGGCGGUUGGGGAUGGACUCGCGGCUUAUCCGCUUGUUGGUGGGGUAGUUGCUUACCAAGGCUUUGACGGGUAGCCGGCCUGAGAGGGUGACCGGCCACAUUGGGACUGAGAGACGGCCCAGACUCCUACGGGAGGCAGCAGUGGGGAAUAUUGCACAAUGGGCGGAAGCGUGAUGCAGAAACGCCGCGUGCGGGAUGACGGCCUUCGGGUUGUAAACCGCUUUCGCCUGUGACGAAGCGUGAGUGACGGUAAUGGGUAAAGAAGCACCGGCUAACUACGUG